ACUCAAAUGAAUUGACGGGGGCCCGCACAAGCGGUGGAGCAUGUGGUUUAAUUCGAAGCAACGCGAAGAACCUUACCAGGUCUUGACAUCCCAUUGACCACUGUAGAGAUACAGUUUUCCCUUCGGGGACAACGGUGACAGGUGGUGCAUGGUUGUCGUCAGCUCGUGUCGUGAGAUGUUGGGUUAAGUCCCGCAACGAGCGCAACCCUUGUUCUUAGUUGCCAUCAUUUAGUUGGGCACUCUAAGGAGACUGCCGGUGACAAACCGGAGGAAGGUGGGGAUGACGUCAAAUCAUCAUGCCCCUUAUGACCUGGGCUACACACGUGCUACAAUGGACGGUACAAACGGUUGCCAACCCGCGAGGGGGAGCUAAUCCGAUAAAACCGUUCUCAGUUCGGAUUGUAGGCUGCAACUCGCCUACAUGAAGCCGGAAUCGCUAGUAAUCGUGGAUCAGCAUGCCACGGUGAAUACGUUCCCGGGCCUUGUACACACCGCCCGU
RNAcentral lists this ribosomal RNA (499 nucleotides) under uncultured bacterium. Its description in RNAcentral is "partial 16S ribosomal RNA". It matches the Rfam family "Bacterial small subunit ribosomal RNA", at positions 899 to 1397 of the family's 1533-position model. The record is from RNAcentral.